GGGGGGGGGUGGGGGGGGGGCUGGGGCGGGCGGGGGGGGGGGGGGGGUCGGGUGUGGCGGCGGGCGGGGGAGUAGCGCGUGGGAAUGUGCCCUUCUCUACGGACUAGCCCUGGGAAACUGGGCGUAAUAGCGUAUCCGCGCUAUUGGGGAACGAUUUAUAGUAGCAGGAUCAGCCCGCGUUGGAUUAGCUAGUUGGUGAGGUAAUGGCUUACCAAGGCAACGAUGCAUAGCUGACCUGAGAGGGUGAUCGGCCACACUGGAACUGAGACCCGGUCCAGACUCCUACGGGAGGCAGCAGUAGGGAAUCUUCCGCAAUGGGCGAAAGCCUGACGGAGCAACGCCGCGUGAGUGAUGAAGGUCUUCGGAUCGUAAAACUCUGUUAUUAGGGAAGAACAUAUGUGUAAGUAACUGUGCACAUCUUGACGGUACCUAAUCAGAAAGCCACGGCUAACUACGUG
RNAcentral lists this ribosomal RNA (458 nucleotides) under uncultured bacterium. RNAcentral's name for it is "partial 16S ribosomal RNA". It matches the Rfam family "Bacterial small subunit ribosomal RNA", at positions 35 to 507 of the family's 1533-position model. The record is from RNAcentral.